This 497-nucleotide ribosomal RNA is filed under the name uncultured bacterium. Its description in RNAcentral is "partial 16S ribosomal RNA". It matches the Rfam family "Bacterial small subunit ribosomal RNA", at positions 28 to 507 of the family's 1533-position model. The record is from RNAcentral.
GAUGAACGCUGGCGGCGUGCCUAAUACAUGCAAGUCGAGCGAACAGAUCAGGAGCUUGCUCCUCUGACGUUGUCGGCGGACGGGAGAGUAACACGUGGAUAACCUACCUAUAAGACUGGGAUAACUUUGGGAAACCGGAGCUAAUACCGGAUAAUAUAUUGAACCGCAUUGUUCAAUAGUUAAAGACGGUUUUGCUGUCACUUAUAGAUGACUACGGGCCGAAUUAGUUAGUUGGUAAGGUAACGGCUUACCAAGGCAAGGAUGGUUACCCGACCUGAAAGGGAGGAUGGCCACACGGGAUGUGAGGAACAGCAGAGACUCCUGCAGGAAGAAGCAGUAGGGAAUCUUCCGCAAGGGGGGAAUGCCUGACGGUGCAACGCCGCGGGAGGGAUGAAGGUGCUCGGAUCGGAAAACUAUGUUAGUAGGGAAGAACAAAUGUGUAAGUAACUAUGCACGUCUUGACGGUACCUAAUCAGAAAGCCACGGCUAACUCCGUG